This 74-nucleotide transfer RNA is filed under the name Virgisporangium ochraceum. RNAcentral describes it as "tRNA-Cys". It matches the Rfam family "tRNA". Rfam says of the family: Transfer RNA (tRNA) molecules are approximately 80 nucleotides in length. Their secondary structure includes four short double-helical elements and three loops (D, anti-codon, and T loops). Further hydrogen bonds mediate the characteristic L-shaped molecular structure. tRNAs have two regions of fundamental functional importance: the anti-codon, which is responsible for specific mRNA codon recognition, and the 3' end, to which the tRNAs corresponding amino acid is attached (by aminoacyl-tRNA synthetases). tRNAs cope with the degeneracy of the genetic code in two manners: having more than one tRNA (with a specific anti-codon) for a particular amino acid; and 'wobble' base-pairing, i.e. permitting non-standard base-pairing at the 3rd anti-codon position. The record is from RNAcentral. Lineage: Bacteria; Bacillati; Actinomycetota; Actinomycetes; Micromonosporales; Micromonosporaceae.
AGCCGUAUGCCCGAGUGGUCAAGGGCUCCGCCUGCAAAGCGGAUGGCUGUCGGUUCGAUUCCGACUACGGCUUC